This is a long non-coding RNA of Meriones unguiculatus (Mongolian gerbil), 2304 nucleotides long. RefSeq lists it as uncharacterized. The transcript has 9 exons. NCBI's taxonomy places the organism in Eukaryota, Metazoa, Chordata, Mammalia, Rodentia, Muridae. The record is from RefSeq and is a predicted model, not a curated record.
GAAAGAACUCUUUAACUGCACAACCUCUUUCCCCUGAAAAGAGGAAAACGGCUGCCGAGUGAGGUGCCAAGUCACACUAUAUAGUAAGAUCUCGGCGGUUGUGGAGAAGGGACUAAUGGAGCAAGAGUCACAGUGGAGACCAGGGCUAGGAGAGCUUUCCCAGGGGAUAGAGAGACAAACUGAUCCGAGUGAAGGCGACAGGAAAGAAAAUGAGCCUGCCUGUCACCAGCGGGUGGCGUGGCCACGCACACCGCUGAGCCUCUGUGGGUUUCCGUUUCCCUGUUCUUGAAGGGUUGGAUGUGAUGUCCUGCUCCUCCAAAGCAGAGGCCCUCUGCACUCCCUGAUCCACUUUAUCUCCUCAGGAGGCUGAGAUGCAGCCCAUUCCCGACGGCUCCAGGGAUCUAGAGUGUCACAGCCUGAUGUUCACACUGCCCUGCCUCUUCCACCUCACGAGUCACUGGACCCGACAGUGGGAGCAGCUUGUCACCAGGUCACCAGAUGACACAUGGCAGAAGAAAGGCUGUAUGAUGCCUUUACCUGUGAGAGAGCUAUUCUAGAAGUUCAGAAAAGUUCAUAAAUGGUGGCCUCCAUUGACCACAGAGACCCACACUGCGGGAGAGGGGCCACGGCAGGGUAGGCUGCCUGGCACCAGUUGGCAAGGAUUGCCAUAUCGUGCAAGUUCCAGGUGUUGAGCAGCAGUCUUGGCUCAGAGCUGAAAGCAAACAAUGGCUCAAACUAACACUGUGGCCAAAAGGGCCCUGAUGAGGAAAGCCAGAGGAAGAGGAGCGAGCCAAGGAAGAGUAGAGGGACAAAGUCAACAGACCCAGUCCAGGAAUCCUGCAGGACUAUGAUGGAAGGAGAUCCAGCUGUGACUUUGAGAGUCUCCAAGCCUGGGGGAGUUCUGGCACUUCUCUAUUUAAUAAUCCCCCAAGGAAGCAACUCAUGGAGAAAGGUCAGAAGUUGUGGUGGGACAACAGCCAAGGGUUCCCGCAACCAACAUGGAGACUUCUGCCAGCACACAGGAAUGUCUGAAGGAAGCAAGGACCCAAGUCAGAAAUCAGUUGUCUGGGGGACACAGAGGUCAGAGGACACUGUCCUUGGCAGAAGAGUUGUGAACACCCUUAAAUCCAUAGGCUCCUGGCCAGCUGGUCCCUGGACCGUGAGGAUCAGGAUCAUGUUGAGAGAGGGAUGCUGGGAUUGAAUUGAAGAGGGUCCUUUCAAUUAGGGGAAAGUGACCCAGAAGCAUGAACUAAACAGGUGAAGGUGACACCUUGGGGUGACCUGCAAAGGAGGUUUCUGGGGUUCUUUCUGUAUUGCUAGAAGGGGGAAAAAUCAAGUAACGUCUCAGACCACAGCACAGAACCUUGUGAAGACUGAGGAGUCGAGAGAUCACAGAAUUCUCCCUGCUAACAUAGAAACCAAAACUGGGGAGACCAGCUACCGGGACAAGUGGAGCAGACUCACCAGCGAAGGGUCAACGUGCAGCAGUGGCCGUCUGUGGAGAGCGUUGCAACAGCAGUAACUCAGAAGUUUAUAAUCAAGAGAAAUUUGUCUCCUGGCUCUAGUGAUUGGGAGAGUGACAUGAUGCAGAUGAACUCUAGCCACUGGCUCACCCAGGCUAGCAACAAUGCCUGAACCUCAGUCUUCCUGGAAAAAGCCCACAUGGACACGCACUUUCUCGGAAGUGGAAUUGUAGAAAUCUCAAGCCAACACAGUUUGAAAAAAAGAGAAGAAAGAGAAGGAGGAAAAGAAGCAGAAGAGAAAGAAGAAGGAGAACAGGAAAAAAGAAGAAGAAGAAGAAGAAGAAGAAGAAGAAGAAGAAGAAGAAGAAGAAGGAGAAGAAGAGCUUGCCACCAUUCCCAGGAUAGUCUCAUCCCAGAGAGACAUUUGCCAGAUAUCUUGGCUGCUCAACUGUUGUGCCCCCCUGCCGUCUCUGUGAUCUCAAGCAGCCAGCAGCCAGGCUCCAGGUCAGAGGCUCAGCAAUGGUGACAAAGAGAAGCACAGAGGAGUAGAGGACAGCACUUGAGGUCGCCCAGUCUUCACGAUUAGAUCACCCUGAGCAGGAUGCUCCCCCUGGCUGAGCUCGGGGCCAUGUUCUCUUGAGUAAAAUUGGACUGAGUCCAGUUUUAUGUACUUCAGAGCCCUUCCUUGUUUGUACACGAAAGACACACUCCAGUCUAAACUCACCCGAGACGAACAGCUGCUUAUUUCUUGGCAAUUUUCCCCUGGUGUUUCUUGUCUUGGUGGAAUUAAUCCUUGCAUAAUAACACACAUUUCUGUCCCAUAAGAAUGUUAUCUGGUUUG